This 406-nucleotide ribosomal RNA is filed under the name uncultured bacterium. RNAcentral's name for it is "bacterial SSU rRNA". It matches the Rfam family "Bacterial small subunit ribosomal RNA", at positions 355 to 775 of the family's 1533-position model. The record is from RNAcentral.
UCGAGAAUCUUCGGCAAUGGGCGCAAGCCUGACCGAGCGACGCCGCGUGGUGGAAGAAGGCCUUCGGGUUGUAAACACCUGUUGGGGGGGAGCAAAACCGAGCGAACCCCUGAGGAAGCACGGGCUAAGUUCGUGCCAGCAGCCGCGGUAAGACGAACCGUGCGAACGUUAUUCGGAAUUAUUGGGCUUAAAGGGCGCGUAGGCGGCCGUUUAAGUGGGGGGUGAAAUCCUGGCGGCUCAACCGCGGGAGUGCCUUCCAUACUGGGCGGCUAUGAGGGAGGUAGGGGCCGGUGGAACUUCCGGUGGAGCGGUGAAAUGUGUUGAGAUCGGAAGGAACGCCUGUGGCGAAAGCGACCGGCUGGACCUUUUCCUGACGCUGAGGCGCGAAAGCCAGGGGAGCAAACGG